GACGAACUCUGGCGGCGUGCUUAACACAUGCAAGUCGAACGAUGAAGCCUAGCUUGCUAGGUGGAUUAGUGGCGAACGGGUGAGUAAUACGUGAGUAACCUACCUUUAACUCUGGGAUAAGCCUGGGAAACUGGGUCUAAUACCGGAUACGACCAAUCUCCGCAUGGGGUGUUGGUGGAAAGCGUUAUGUAGUGGUUAUAGAUGGGCUCACGGCCUAUCAGCUUGUUGGUGAGGUAACGGCUCACCAAGGCGACGACGGGUAGCCGGCCUGAGAGGGUGACCGGCCACACUGGGACUGAGACACGGCCCAGACUCCUACGGGAGGCAGCAGUGGGGAAUAUUGCACAAUGGGCGCAAGCCUGAUGCAGCGACGCCGCGUGAGGGAUGACGGCCUUCGGGUUGUAAACCUCUGUUAGCAGGGAAGGAGAGAGAUUGACGGUACCUGCAGAGAAAGCGCCGGCUAACUACGUGCCAGCAGCCGCGGUAAUACGUAGGGCGCGAGCGUUGUCCGGAAUUAUUGGGCGUAAAGAGCUUGUAGGCGGUUUGUCGCGUCUGCUGUGAAGGCCGGGGCUUAACUCCGUGUAUUGCAGUGGGUACGGGCAGACUAGAGUGCAGUAGGGGAGACUGGAAUUCCUGGUGUAGCGGUGGAAUGCGCAGAUAUCAGGAGGAACACCGAUGGCGAAGGCAGGUCUCUGGGCUGUAACUGACGCUGAGAAGCGAAAGCAUGGGGAGCGAACAGGAUUAGAUACCCUGGUAGUCCAUGCCGUAAACGUUGGGCACUAGGUGUGGGGGACAUUCCACGUUUUCCGCGCCGUAGCUAACGCAUUAAGUGCCCCGCCUGGGGAGUACGGCCGCAAGGCUAAAACUCAAAGAAAUUGACGGGGGCCCGCACAAGCGGCGGAGCAUGCGGAUUAAUUCGAUGCAACGCGAAGAACCUUACCAAGGCUUGACAUAUACUGGACCGCAUCAGAGAUGGUGUUUCCCUUCGGGGCUGGUAUACAGGUGGUGCAUGGUUGUCGUCAGCUCGUGUCGUGAGAUGUUGGGUUAAGUCCCGCAACGAGCGCAACCCUCGUUCUAUGUUGCCAGCACGUUAUGGUGGGGACUCAUAGGAGACUGCCGGGGUCAACUCGGAGGAAGGUGGGGAUGACGUCAAAUCAUCAUGCCCCUUAUGUCUUGGGCUUCACGCAUGCUACAAUGGCCGGUACAGAGGGUUGCGAUACUGUGAGGUGGAGCUAAUCCCUAAAAGCCGGUCUCAGUUCGGAUUGGGGUCUGCAACUCGACCCCAUGAAGUCGGAGUCGCUAGUAAUCGCAGAUCAGCAACGCUGCGGUGAAUACGUUCCCGGGCCU
Molecule: ribosomal RNA, 1347 nt
Filed under: uncultured bacterium
Lineage: Bacteria
Description: bacterial SSU rRNA
Rfam family: Bacterial small subunit ribosomal RNA
Source: RNAcentral